This 53-nucleotide transfer RNA is filed under the name Tetragnatha maxillosa. RNAcentral describes it as "tRNA-Ile". Lineage: Eukaryota; Metazoa; Arthropoda; Arachnida; Araneae; Tetragnathidae. The record is from RNAcentral.
UUAUAUGCCUGAUUAAAGGGUUAAUUUGAUAGAUUAAAUAAUAAGAAUUUUAA